Molecule: unclassified non-coding RNA, 315 nt
Filed under: uncultured fungus
Lineage: Eukaryota; Fungi
Description: partial contains 5.8S ribosomal RNA and internal transcribed spacer 2
Rfam family: 5.8S ribosomal RNA (bases 1-133)
Source: RNAcentral
UGGUUCUGGCAUCGAUGAAGAACGCAGCGAAAUGCGAUAAGUAAUGUGAAUUGCAGAAUUCAGUGAAUCAUCGAAUCUUUGAACGCACAUUGCGCCCCUUGGUAUUCCGAAGGGCAUGCCUGUUCGAGCGUCAUUUCAACCCUCAAGCCUAGCUUGGUAUUGGACGCGGUCCUAGGACCCGUCCGCAACCCGUUGGCGGUACCGUCCGGCCUCAAGCGUAGCAAAAAACCUCGCUUCGGGAGCUCGUGGCGGCGCCCGCCAGAGGAACCACCAAUUCUAAAGUUUGACCUCGGAUCAGGUAGGGAUACCCGCUGA